UUAGAUACCCUGGUAGUCCACGCUGUAAACGAUGGAUACUAGGUGUGGGGGGACUGACCCCCUCCGUGCCGCAGUUAACACAAUAAGUAUCCCACCUGGGGAGUACGAUCGCAGGUUAAACUCAAGAAUUGACGGGGCCCGCACAAGCGGGGAUAUGUGGUUAAUUCAAGCACGCGAAGACCUUACCAGGCUUGACUCCCGAGACCGACANAGAUAGUUUUUCUCUCGGAGACUCUGAACAGGUGUGCAUAGUUGUCGUCAGCUCGUGUCGUGAGAUGUUUGGGUAAAUUCCCNGAACUAACCGCCACCCCUUAUUGUUAGUUUGCUCCCCAAAAAACCCUCUUAACCAAGAACUGCCCGUUGACAAAAACCGGAAGAAAGGGGGGGAACCACUUUCAAAAUCAUAAUUGCCCCUUUAUGUUCCUGGGGCCCCCAACCGUCCUACAAAGGGGGGGCCAACCAAGGGAACCCUUUCCCCGGAGGGGGGGGCCAAAUUCCUUAAAACCCUUCCCGUUUCUGAUUACCAAAGCUUAAACCCCCCCUCGGGGAAAAUUGGAAAACCCCUCCUAAUCCCC
Molecule: ribosomal RNA, 575 nt
Filed under: uncultured bacterium
Lineage: Bacteria
Description: partial 16S ribosomal RNA
Rfam family: Bacterial small subunit ribosomal RNA
Source: RNAcentral